Molecule: long non-coding RNA, 328 nt
Filed under: Heterocephalus glaber (naked mole-rat)
Lineage: Eukaryota; Metazoa; Chordata; Mammalia; Rodentia; Bathyergidae
Description: lncRNA (ENSHGLG00000047066.1)
Source: RNAcentral
GGAGCACAGCCUGCAGAGGGUGGCAUUUGUUCUGGGUGACUUCAGCAGGGACGAGGGCUCUCGAGAGGGCCCCACUGCAGAGACCCAUCGUGUUCCAAGCUCUGCAGGAAAACUGAAGUCCACAGAUCAGCUUAACUGAGAAAGUAACGAGCAGCAACCUGAUCCUAAAAUAAAGAAACAGGCUGAGAGAAUUCAAAGAAUACUUAAAUUAUCCACCUUAAAAAAAAGCAACAAAACUGGGCUCAUGCCUAUAAUAUGGGCCGGUAUGAGGGCGCUUCUACCCCCUCUUCCAGGAAAUAAUAUGCUUCUCUGUCUUGAGGGUCCACAC